This 253-nucleotide ribosomal RNA is filed under the name uncultured bacterium. RNAcentral's name for it is "partial 16S ribosomal RNA". It matches the Rfam family "Bacterial small subunit ribosomal RNA", at positions 524 to 776 of the family's 1533-position model. The record is from RNAcentral.
UACGAAGGUCCCAAGCGUUAUCCGGAUUUAUUGGGUUUAAAGGGUGCGUAGGCGGAUUAUUAAGUCAGUGGUGAAAGCUCCAUGCCUAACAUGGAAAUUGCCAUUGAUACUGAUAGUCUUGAGUACAUUUGAAGUGGGCGGAAUGUGUCAUGUAGCGGUGAAAUGCUUAGAUAUGACACAGAACACCGAUUGCGUAGGCAGCUCGCCAAACUGUAACUGACGCUGAGGCACGAAAGCGCGGGGAGCAAACAGG